RNAcentral lists this non-coding RNA (186 nucleotides) under Deltaproteobacteria bacterium. Lineage: Bacteria; Pseudomonadati; Myxococcota; Myxococcia. The record is from RNAcentral.
AUAAUUCCUCAUGAUGCGGGUGCCGAUACGGCAUAAGAGGGAAUCCCGUGAAAAGCGGGAGCGGUCCCGCCGCUGUGACCGGGGACGAAAGCUGCUUGAGCCACUUGUCCGGAAGACCGGGCUGGGAAGGCGCGGCAAGUAGGAUGAUCCGGGAGCCAGAAGACCUGCCCACAUCAGAGACCGGCA